UACGUAGGGUGCAAGCGUUAAUCGGAAUUACUGGGCGUAAAGCGUGCGCAGGCGGCUUUGCAAGACAGAUGUGAAAUCCCCGGGCUUAACCUGGGAACCGCAUUUGUGACUGCACAGCUGGAGUACGGCAGAGGGGGAUGGAAUUCCGCGUGUAGCAGUGAAAUGCGUAGAUAUGCGGAGGAACACCGAUGGCGAAGGCAGUCCCCUGGGCCUGUACUGACGCUCAUGCACGAAAGCGUGGGGAGCAAACAGG
This 253-nucleotide ribosomal RNA is filed under the name uncultured bacterium. RNAcentral's name for it is "partial 16S ribosomal RNA". It matches the Rfam family "Bacterial small subunit ribosomal RNA", at positions 524 to 776 of the family's 1533-position model. The record is from RNAcentral.